This 459-nucleotide long non-coding RNA is filed under the name Malurus cyaneus samueli. RNAcentral's name for it is "lncRNA (ENSMCSG00000010622.1)". Lineage: Eukaryota; Metazoa; Chordata; Aves; Passeriformes; Maluridae. The record is from RNAcentral.
CAGAACUGGCCCCUUCCUCUCCCUGCGUCCGGCAGCUCCGGCUCCGACCUUUCCGGGGUCACCGUGGUGACAUCAGGGGCCAAGGUCCAGGCGGGGCAGCACCCGCGGCUGGGGACAGCCGGGACAGCCCGAGUGACACCAUGAGGCUGUGGCUGCUCUGCGCUGUCACCGCCGCCGUGGCCGUGGCCGGAGCUGGCGCUGGGGCCGGAGCUGGAGCCGGAGCUGAGCACGGCGACUCCAGGAUGGUGGCACGCGGGAGAGAGGGCUGGCGGCGGCCGCACAGACCCUGCUCCGGCUGCUUCUCCGUGCUGAGCGAGGAGUCGCAGUCGAUGCCCUGGAAUUCCCGUGAAGAGGAUGCGGCUCAGCCGGGCAGGCGGGCGCGGAGCAGGAAGGGUCCUGGAGGUACUAGGAAAGCGUGCCCGGAUGGGGAUGGAGGUGGGAUGUACAUGGGAUGGGGAU